CGCGGGGUGGAGCAGCCUGGUAGCUCGUCGGGCUCAUAACCCGAAGGUCGUCGGUUCGAAUCCGGCCCCCGCA
This 73-nucleotide transfer RNA is filed under the name Pectobacterium polaris. RNAcentral describes it as "tRNA-Met". It matches the Rfam family "tRNA". From Rfam's summary of the family: Transfer RNA (tRNA) molecules are approximately 80 nucleotides in length. Their secondary structure includes four short double-helical elements and three loops (D, anti-codon, and T loops). Lineage: Bacteria; Pseudomonadati; Pseudomonadota; Gammaproteobacteria; Enterobacterales; Pectobacteriaceae. The record is from RNAcentral.